AAAGCACUUUUGUCCGGAAAGAAAACCUUUGGGCUAAUACCCUGAGGGGAUGACGGUACCGGAAGAAUAAGCACCGGCUAACUACGUGCCAGCAGCCGCGGUAAUACGUAGGGUGCGAGCGUUAAUCGGAAUUACUGGGCGUAAAGCGUGCGCAGGCGGUUCGUUAAGACAGAUGUGAAAUCCCCGGGCUUAACCUGGGAACUGCAUUUGUGACUGGCGAGCUAGAGUAUGGCAGAGGGGGGUAGAAUUCCACGUGUAGCAGUGAAAUGCGUAGAGAUGUGGAGGAAUACCGAUGGCGAAGGCAGCCCCCUGGGCCAAUACUGACGCUCAUGCACGAAAGCGUGGGGAGCAAACAGGAUUAGAUACCCUGGUAGUCCACGCCCUAAA
This 387-nucleotide ribosomal RNA is filed under the name bacterium Fuku2-ISO-14. RNAcentral describes it as "bacterial SSU rRNA". It matches the Rfam family "Bacterial small subunit ribosomal RNA", at positions 427 to 806 of the family's 1533-position model. The record is from RNAcentral.